Molecule: long non-coding RNA, 474 nt
Organism: Felis catus (domestic cat)
Lineage: Eukaryota; Metazoa; Chordata; Mammalia; Carnivora; Felidae
Exons: 3
Source: RefSeq, a predicted model, not a curated record
UUUAGAGGCCACCAGAGUAAGAUUAAACCAAGAAGUGAUUGGUUACAGCUUUAAGAAGUCAUCUGACCCAAUGAGACUGGAUGCAAUCCCCUAGGAAGAAGGUGCAGAUAAAAACAACCAACCAACCAAAUAAACAGCCAAGGUUCUACUUCUGGACCCUUCAUUAUUUAGAGACCUUGCAGGGGAAAAAGAGUCAGAAACUGAAAAGGAAACUGAAAAGAAGCUCCCAGUAAGGAAAGAAAAAAAUUAGGCAUUUAAAAAUAUUAUACUCAGAAGUGAUCCAUUCAUCAGACUGUCAAAGGGGUCUAUGGCACAGUAAAGUCACAAGCCCUGAUCUGCCUGGAAGUUAUGGAAGUUGCCAAGAAGAAGAGGAGUAGUGAAGGAUGAAGACGUGAGCCCAGUGCUAUUUCUUACCAAAUGCUCUGGUCGCAUCUCACCUAUUUAUUUAUAUAAAGGUCAUAUUUAGUAAACAAA